Tricharina praecox is the source of this 96-nucleotide non-coding RNA. The record is from the annotation of a RefSeq genome assembly. NCBI's taxonomy places the organism in Eukaryota, Fungi, Ascomycota, Pezizomycetes, Pezizales, Pyronemataceae.
GGUCACAUGGUGUAAUGGUUAGCACAUAGGAUUUUGACUUGGUUUCGGCCUUUUCAGAAUCUUCCUGGGAUCUGGGUUCGAUUCCCAGUGAGACCU